UGAUGACAUGUGAAUAGGAACAAAAAGG
Molecule: non-coding RNA, 28 nt
Filed under: Mus musculus (house mouse)
Lineage: Eukaryota; Metazoa; Chordata; Mammalia; Rodentia; Muridae
Source: RNAcentral